This 407-nucleotide ribosomal RNA is filed under the name uncultured bacterium. RNAcentral's name for it is "bacterial SSU rRNA". It matches the Rfam family "Bacterial small subunit ribosomal RNA", at positions 355 to 776 of the family's 1533-position model. The record is from RNAcentral.
UGGGGAGUAUUGGGCAAUGGGCGCAAGCCUGACCCAGCAACGCCGCGUGAAGGAAGAAGGCUUUCGGGUUGUAAACUUCUUUGAUCAGGGACGAAAAAAAUGACGGUACCUGAAAAACAAGCCACGGCUAACUACGUGCCAGCAGCCGCGGUAAUACGUAGGUGGCGAGCGUUAUCCGGAUUUACUGGGUGUAAAGGGCGUGUAGGCGGUUUUGUAAGUCGGAUGUGAAAUUCCCAAGCUUAACUUGGGCGCUGCAUCCGAAACUGCGAAACUUGAGUACUGGAGAGGAUAGUGGAAUUCCUAGUGUAGCGGUAAAAUGCGUAGAUAUUAGGAGGAACAUCAGUGGCGAAGGCGACUAUCUGGACAGUAACUGACGCUGAGGCGCGAAAGCGUGGGGAGCAAACAGG